Long non-coding RNA from Olea europaea var. sylvestris, 543 nucleotides. RefSeq lists it as uncharacterized. The transcript has 2 exons. The record is from RefSeq and is a predicted model, not a curated record. Lineage: Eukaryota; Viridiplantae; Streptophyta; Magnoliopsida; Lamiales; Oleaceae.
UUAAUUAGCGUGCAUAGCAAUCUUCAUUUGCAGGAAGUAAUUGGAAAAACAGUUAAUGGAACUACUUAUGCCGGGCUCAGAGCAAGAACGACGGGUGCUCCUCAAAAUCACUGGUUUGGUCCAGCUGGAGAUCCAAGAGGAGCCGGAAUAGGAACUCCGGAAGCAAUAAAGCUCGUCUGGUCGUGCCACAGAGAAAUCAUAUAUGAUCAUGGUCCCUUGCCACAGAAAUGGGAAAUUCCAACAGCAACUUAAUGAAAACACAAAAAUCGAGAACUUGUAUUGGCAAAUGACAAUCAAAUAUGAAAGCUGAAUCUUUAGUUCCAGUUAAUAAAUGAAACGAAUCAGCUUUCAUGGUCUCCGGCCCCCCUUUUUUAAUUACCUUAAUAUGUACGAGCUUGCCCAUAUGCAUCUGGAGCUAUUCUACUAGCUAUAGCGUCACUAAUGCAUUACCACAAAGGUGGUCUUAAAAAGCAUAUUUAGUACGUUGUAGUGAAGAGAAUUGGACAUUAUGGUAAAUAAGAUGUUCACUUCUUUUCAUCGUAA